CAAUAGAUAGCCUGUAACUCCAGGUUGUUGUAGUCUUGUGUUAUUAUCAAUAGAUAGCCUGUAACUCCAGGUUGUUGUAGUCUUGUGUUAUUAUCAAUAGAUAGCCUGUAACUCCAGGUUGUUGUAGUCUUGUGUUAUUAUCAAUAGAUAGCCUGUAACUCCAGGUUGUUGUAGUCUUGUGUUAUUAUCAAUAGAUAGCCUGUUGUAGUCUUGUGUUAUUAUCAAUAGAUAGCCUGUUGUAGUCUUGUGUUAUUAUCAAUAGAUAGCCUGUAACUCCAGGUGGUUGUAGUCUUGUGUUAUUAUCAAUAGAUAGCCUGUAACUCCAGGUUGUUGUAGUCUUGUGUUAUUAUCAAUAGAUAGCCUGUAACUCCAGGUUGUUGUAGUCUUGUGUUAUUAUCAAUAGAUAGCCUGUAACUCCAGGUUGUUGUAGUCUUGUGUUAUUAUCAAUAGAUAGCCUGUAACUCCAGGUGGUUGUAGUCUUGUGUUAUUAUCAAUAGAUAGCCUGUAACUCCAGUUUGUUGUAGUCUUGUGUUAUUAUCAAUAGAUAGCCUGUAACUCCAGGUUGUUGUAGUCUUGUGUUAUUAUCAAU
This is a long non-coding RNA of Oncorhynchus keta (chum salmon), 589 nucleotides long. RefSeq lists it as uncharacterized. The transcript has 3 exons. NCBI's taxonomy places the organism in Eukaryota, Metazoa, Chordata, Actinopteri, Salmoniformes, Salmonidae. The record is from RefSeq and is a predicted model, not a curated record.